CAUGGUGUGCAGCGUUGCCCUUGUGAGCAAUCUCUGAUGCUACUGAUGUUUAUAUAUGUAUUACUUAUGACACUAGGAUUCAAUCCUCACCGAAGAUUGAAUUCCAUCUUCUUGGUUAGAAUGCACAAAGGAUUUGAAUUGUGAAUCUUGCAAGGACAUUUAUUUUGUGAAAUUUAACAUGACUAAUUUGAGACCAGCAAAGAGGAUUGGGCCCGAAGAAAUGCUGAUAUUGAGCUAGGUUCGCAAGGCGAUAUGUCGAGCUCUGUGUAGCCUGCUUUCAAUGGCUUAUUUAAACAGCUCUGUGCUAUCAUAGAAUUCAGCUUAGGGAGAUCAAGAAGAUGUUUCAUAUGUCAGCACAACUACUGGAGGAUUUGCAGGUGAGGAACUAUUAUAUGAGUUUGGAUGACCAAAUAUUAGUAGUACAUCAAAAUCUACGGCUUUAUAUAGUUUGUCACAUACUGUCUUAUUUCAUAUAUGAUGACCAUAUCAAUCAAGUGUUUGUUAUUUUUCAUUCAGAGUGUACAUUGAUUCCAGUGUAGCAAGAACAGAAAAUAAGGUGUCGUCGGUGAAAAGAAGCAUGCCCAAAUUUGUAAGCCCAUAUUGUGCCACAUGGAACUUUCUCUAUCAGUUCAGGCUGGAUGGGCAAGACGACAUACUGCAGACCGGGACCAAGAGUUAUGUUCAUUAUCAGUGAUAUGUGUUAAUACUCUCCUAGAGAUUGAUUUUUUUGCGAUCGCAAAAAAAGGAGCCAGAUACAUGGCGAGCUUCCAAAUAUCAAGUUGCAAGUACCUUCGUUGCUUUGGACCUUGCCAUGGAAGGAUGAACACUAAAUGACCACAAAAUGCCUCUAGAUUAU
This is a long non-coding RNA of Triticum aestivum (bread wheat), 856 nucleotides long. RefSeq lists it as uncharacterized. The transcript has 5 exons. NCBI's taxonomy places the organism in Eukaryota, Viridiplantae, Streptophyta, Magnoliopsida, Poales, Poaceae. The record is from RefSeq and is a predicted model, not a curated record.